RNAcentral lists this ribosomal RNA (443 nucleotides) under uncultured bacterium. Its description in RNAcentral is "partial 16S ribosomal RNA". It matches the Rfam family "Bacterial small subunit ribosomal RNA", at positions 338 to 795 of the family's 1533-position model. The record is from RNAcentral.
CCUACGGGAGGCAGCAGUGGGGAAUAUUGGGCAAUGGGCGCAAGCCUGACCCAGCAACGCCGCGUGAAGGAAGAAGGCUUUCGGGUUGUAAACCUCUUUUCUGAGGGACGAAGAAAGUGACGGUACCCCAGGAAUAAGCCACGGCUAACUACGUGCCAGCAGCCGCGGUAAUACGUAGGUGGCAAGCGUUAUCCGGAUUUAUUGGGUGUAAAGGGCGUGUAGGCGGGAAAGCAAGUCAGAUGGGAAAACUCAGGGCUCAACCCUGAGCCUGCAUUUGAAACUGUUUUUCUUGAGUGCUGGAGAGGCAAUCGGAAUUCCGUGUGUAGCGGUGAAAUGCGUAGAUAUACGGAAGAACACCAGUGGCGAAGGCGGAUUGCUGGACAGUCACUGACGCUGAGGCGCGAAAGCGUGGGGAGCAAACAGGAUUAGAUACCCGUGUAGUC